UAAUUAAAUGUGUGUAUAUGUAUGUGUACAUGCACAUGUAUACACACACACACACACACACACACACACACACACACACACAGGAAGAGAGAAACAAAGAGAAU
This 104-nucleotide microRNA precursor is filed under the name Myotis lucifugus (little brown bat). RNAcentral describes it as "miRNA (ENSMLUG00000017915.2)". Lineage: Eukaryota; Metazoa; Chordata; Mammalia; Chiroptera; Vespertilionidae. The record is from RNAcentral.